AACAUCAAUUUGAAUUGUUUUACAAAGUUAUAUUAAUGCUAAUGAUUGUAAAUUAUCAUGACGUGACACUUUUUGUUUAAUUUUCACCUUGUGAAUCAUUUAGAUCUCAUGUGACAAUGGAGAGUUUACAAGUGGUAACUUUUGUAGCAAGCUCGUGAAGUGUUUUGACAUAUCAAUUAUCACCCAAUUGUUGGUAAUCGCAUUGAAUGAUUGUAUGGCUUUAAUUUCCGUCAAAGUUUCUUCAGUUAUAUUAUUUUCUUUGGAUGACAGUGACUGUACACCUGACACACAAUGGUUUACUCAUUACGAAUUAUGUAUUUCCGAUUAUUUGAUUGCUGAAUAGUUUUAACUGUAUCUAUGACUUUUAGGAGCUGCUCUUGUAUCGCAAAACAAGUUACCCAAUGACAGUGCCACUAAAAAUAAUUCAAGUGCAAAUUCUGUAUCGCAAGUCACGGUAAACGAUGAUACUGCUGAAGUUGAAGUUGAGGCAAGCACCAACCCAACUGUUGAUGCUCUCGAAACGAUUGAUAGAAUUGACAAAAUGAUAAAAGAUAUGCUAGCAAUUUUGGACAACAUGACAACAACCAACAACCCACCUUCAUUCAUCUUACCUCCAAUGGUCUUACCUAAACCUCCAUGCCACAAACCUAUUCCACCAUUCAACUUACCUCGACCACCCUUCGGCUUACCUCACCCUCCAACCAACAUACAUCGACCUCAAUUUGGCUUCCCACAACCUUCAUUCCAACCAGCUCCAUUCCAUGGACCAAGACCAUUUUCUGGAUUCGGAUCUCAAGGUUUUGUUAAUGGACAUGAACAUUUUGGCGGACGAUUUGGUAAUAAUCAAAGAUUUGGUUUUCGACAAAACUGGUGAUUUCAGUGCAACAAAAUGUAUUACAUUUAGUUUAUCACCUCAAUUACAUUUUCUAAAACAAUAAACUAACUAUAUUUUGUUGUCAGAGAUUUUAAAUUA
Tetranychus urticae (two-spotted spider mite) is the source of this 973-nucleotide non-coding RNA. The record is from RefSeq and is a predicted model, not a curated record. NCBI's taxonomy places the organism in Eukaryota, Metazoa, Arthropoda, Arachnida, Trombidiformes, Tetranychidae.